UCAAUCUGAUAAUGAGGAUCUGCGAUACU
RNAcentral lists this small RNA (29 nucleotides) under Bombyx mori (domestic silkworm). Its description in RNAcentral is "ovarian small RNA-24846". The record is from RNAcentral. Lineage: Eukaryota; Metazoa; Arthropoda; Insecta; Lepidoptera; Bombycidae.